CACCGGACAGGGCGACUGCAGGAAGACUGUAACCUUCUCGUCCUCCAACAUGAGUUGCAGGAAGAGCCUGCGGAUGAAGCCGGAGAUGUUGCCAGAGAUGGGCACGUUUCCACGCUGGGGGGCCGACUGGAAGAGCUCACACAGCACCUACGGAGGGAGAGAAACCACCAUAAACACAAGUUAGUAAAACCAUCACAGAUACCGUUGGUCAGGUGGAAAUGUGUGUGGUCAAGGCAUUCCACCAGACCUGUGCCAUGAGCCGCUGGUUGUUGGGGUGGCAGGAGAUGCACUGCAGGAAGAAGGCCACUGUGGCGUUCUCGAUGGCUGUCCUCUGCUGGGUGGUGAGCCCGCUGCCCCGGGACGAGGAGGCUAGAGAGUAGCGCGACCCAGAGGGCAGGGGUGGGGGCGGAGGAGGGGGGCAGCACGCACCACCGGAGGCAGCAGAGUGGGCUCCCGUGUGCCCCUGGCCACCACUGGCUCCCCCUGCGCUAGCGCUGGAGUGGCACAGCAGGAACAGCAGAGCAGUCCACAGAGAGUUCACCUCAGGCCCACCCAGCCAGUCCUUCAUGGCAUGACUGUUCCCCACCUCUGUGAGGAAACGCAGCACUGGGGCUGCCAGCUCUGCAGACAGGGGCACCCUGCUCUGAGAGGAAGCGGAGGAUGAAGAAGAGGAGGAGCAGUGGGGGUGGUGGUUGUGAUGGUGUUGCCGUCGUUCAGCCUGGGCGGUGGCGGGCAGGGGCAGGUCAGCGGCAGCCAGGAGGCCACAGCAGAGUCCGGCCAGGCUGAAGCCAGAGUGGCCAGUUCCGACUCGGACAGUGCGAUGGGUGGACGCGCGUGCUUGGAGUCGUCGGUGAGGCCGGUGGCAGCGGCGCUGGUGGUGGCGUUAGCAUUGGCGCUGCUGAGGUCAUGCUGCUUCUUUCCGUCGUCCGUCAUGGAGAGGCGGUGCUGGGCCUGAGAUUGGGCGGCGGUUGGCGGGGCCACGAUGCCCAUCCAGGACAUGAGCAGAGAGAAGUAGCUGGGGUGGAUGUGGCACAUGGAGCAGAGCAGGCUGUCUACUGCCUUCUUCAGCACCAUGUUACACAGCAGGGACAUGGACCAGUUGUACAGAAGU
This 1111-nucleotide long non-coding RNA is filed under the name Salmo salar (Atlantic salmon). RNAcentral's name for it is "lncRNA (ENSSSAG00000096284.1, ENSSSAG00000107685.1)". The record is from RNAcentral. Lineage: Eukaryota; Metazoa; Chordata; Actinopteri; Salmoniformes; Salmonidae.